Molecule: long non-coding RNA, 378 nt
Filed under: Androctonus crassicauda
Lineage: Eukaryota; Metazoa; Arthropoda; Arachnida; Scorpiones; Buthidae
Source: RNAcentral
UCGCCGGUUUCUUCCCUACUUUGUUUGGGGUCAUCUUCGUUGUAUUCCGGCUGGCCGCUUGUAUAGGCAUGGGCGCGUGUUUCUUGUCUUUGUCUUUAUUUUUGCCCUCUCUUGGAUUGUAUGGAUGUCUCUCGACUUUCCUCUGUGUUUGCUUCAUGGGCCCGUGUCUGUGCCCGUGCUUUCUUCCUGCCUGGUGGAUGUGCCCUGUUUCCUUCCUCAGGUCUGGUUGGUCUGUCGUGUACAAGUGUGCUCGUCUGGAGUGCGUCUGCAGUGCCGCUUUUUUGUGCCUUAUCGGGUCCGGGGACCGGCUGGGGAUUGUAGUCUCCCGAUAUUGUGGCUUCCUGUGAACUGUUGUCGCAGGCCUUCCUGACUCUGUGG